This 444-nucleotide ribosomal RNA is filed under the name uncultured bacterium. RNAcentral describes it as "partial 16S ribosomal RNA". It matches the Rfam family "Bacterial small subunit ribosomal RNA", at positions 354 to 796 of the family's 1533-position model. The record is from RNAcentral.
GUAGGGAAUAUUGGGCAAUGGUCGGAAGACUGACCCAGCCAUGCCGCGUGCAGGAAGACGGCCCUCUGGGUUGUAAACUGCUUUUAUCUGGGAAGAAAAAGGCCAUGCGUGGCAAAUUGCCGGUACCAGAUGAAUAAGCACCGGCUAACUCCGUGCCAGCAGCCGUGGUAAUACGGAGGGUGCGAGCGUUGUCCGGAUUUAUUGGGUUUAAAGGGUGCGUAGGCGGCUGAUUAAGUCAGCGGUGAAAGACUUCGGCUUAACCGGAGAAGUGCCGUUGAUACUGGUUGGCUUGAGUGUCGGAGGGGUACAUGGAAUUGAUGGUGUAGCGGUGAAAUGCAUAGAUACCAUCAGGAACACCGAUAGCGAAGGCAUUGUACUGGCCGACAACUGACGCUGAUGCACGAAAGUGUGGGGAUCGAACAGGAUUAGAUACCCUUGUAGUCC